RNAcentral lists this ribosomal RNA (363 nucleotides) under Glossotermes oculatus. RNAcentral describes it as "partial 12S ribosomal RNA". Lineage: Eukaryota; Metazoa; Arthropoda; Insecta; Blattodea; Rhinotermitidae. The record is from RNAcentral.
UUCUUAUGUUAAGUUUGUUUGGUGCCUGAGUAGUAGUAGUUAUGUUCUUGAAACUCAAAGAAUUUGGCGGUACCUUAUUCCAGUCAGAGGAAUCUGUGUCGUUAUCGAUAGUCCACGUUGGACCUUACUUAGUUUGUGUUUAGUGUUUGUAUACCGCCGUUUUUUGUUUAUCCUUUUAGGGGUUGAAAUUUUCCGCUUCUAGUUUAUGGGCUUAUUUCAGGUCAAGGUGCAGCUUUAUUUCUAAGUGUGCAUGGGUUACAUUGUUAUAGGUAAGUUGGAUUAUUGCUCUAAUUGGUAAUAUGAAAUUGGAUUUGAUUGUAAUGUCUUGAAGACUGUUUUCAUGAUAUUGGUUCUGGGGUAUGU